This 527-nucleotide ribosomal RNA is filed under the name uncultured bacterium. RNAcentral describes it as "partial 16S ribosomal RNA". It matches the Rfam family "Bacterial small subunit ribosomal RNA", at positions 355 to 874 of the family's 1533-position model. The record is from RNAcentral.
UGGGGAAUAUUGCACAAUGGGCGCAAGCCUGAUGCAGCCAUGCCGCGUGUGUGAAGAAGGCCUCGGUUGUAAGCACUUUCAGCGAGGAGGAAGGUGGUGAGCUUAAUACGCUCAUCAAUUGACGUUACUCGCAGAAGAAGCACCGGCUAACUCCGUGCCAGCAGCCGCGGUAAUACGGAGGGUGCAAGCGUUAAUCGGAAUUACUGGGCGUAAAGCGCACGCAGGCGGUUUGUUAAGUCAGAUGUGAAAUCCCCGGGCUCAACCUGGGAACUGCAUUUGAAACUGGCAAGCUAGAGUCUCGUAGAGGGGGGCUAGAAUUCCAGGUGUAGCGGUGAAAUGCGUAGAGAUCUGGAGGAAUACCGGUGGCGAAGGCGGCCCCCUGGACGAAGACUGACGCUCAGGUGCGAAAGCGUGGGGCAGCAAACAGGAUUAGAUACCCUGGUAGUCCAGCGCUGUAAACGAUGUCGAUUUGGAGGCUGUGCCCUUGAGGCGUGGCUUCCGGAGCUAACGCGUUAAAUCGACCGCCU